UAACGAAUAUUGGGCAAUGGGCGAAAGCCUGACCCAGCAAUGCCGCGUGCAGGACGAAGUCCUUCGGGAUGUAAACUGCUGUCAGGGGUCCGCAAGCGAAGGGGUCCAACAGGCCCUGGAGUUGAGCAGCCCCAGAGGAAGCCUCGACUAACUCUGUGCCAGCAGUCGCGGUAAGACAGAGGAGGCAAGCGUUGUUCGGAAUCACUGGACUUAAAGCGCGUGUAGGCGGCUUAGAAAGUGUCGUGUGAAAUCCCGCGGCUUAACCGCGGAACUGCACGGCAAACUACGUGGCUUGAGGUCGGGAGAGGUGCGUGGAACUCUAGGUGGAGCGGUGAAAGGCGUAGAUAUCUAGAGGAACGCCAGAAGCGAAAGCGGGGCACUGGGCCGAUUCUGACGCUGAGACGCGAAAGCGUGGGGAGCAAACA
Molecule: ribosomal RNA, 425 nt
Filed under: uncultured prokaryote
Description: bacterial SSU rRNA
Rfam family: Bacterial small subunit ribosomal RNA
Source: RNAcentral